CCUACGGGUGGCAGCAGUGGGGAAUAUUGCACAAUGGGGGAAACCCUGAUGCUGCGACGCCGCGUGAGUGAAGAAGGAUUUCGGUAUGUAAAGCUCUAUCAGCAGGGAAGAAAAUGACGGUACUAGAUUAAGAAGCCCCGGCUAACUACGUGCCAGCAGCCGCGGGAAUACGGAGGGGGCAAGCGUUAUCCGGAUUUACUGGGUGUAAAGGGAGCGUAGGCGGCAGCACAAGUCUGGAGUGAAAUGCCGGGGCUUAACCCCCGAACUGCUUUUGAAACUGUGCAGCUAGAGUACAGGAGAGGUAAGUGGAAUUCCUAGUGUAGCGGUGAAAUGCGUAGAUAUUAGGAGGAACACCAGUGGCGAAGGCGGCUUACUGGACAUUAACUGACGUUGAGGCUCGAAAGCGUGGGGAGCAAACAGGAUUAGAUACCCGUGUAGUC
RNAcentral lists this ribosomal RNA (440 nucleotides) under uncultured bacterium. RNAcentral describes it as "partial 16S ribosomal RNA". It matches the Rfam family "Bacterial small subunit ribosomal RNA", at positions 338 to 795 of the family's 1533-position model. The record is from RNAcentral.